GACGGGGCCCGCACAAGCGGUGGAGCAUGUGGUUUAAUUCGAUGAUACGCGAGGAACCUUACCUGGGCUCAAAUGUAUGUUGACGUAUUCUGAAAGGGAUACUUCUUCGGACAAUAUACAAGGUGCUGCAUGGUUGUCGUCAGCUCGUGCCGUGAGGUGUCGGGUUAAGUCCCAUAACGAGCGCAACCCUUGCCUUUAGUUGCCAGCAGUUCGGCUGGGCACUCUAAAGGGACUGCCGGUGUUAAACCGGAGGAAGGUGGGGAUGACGUCAAGUCCUCAUGGCCUUUAUGACCAGGGCUACACACGUACUACAAUGGCCGAUACAAAGGGCAGCGACACUGCGAGGUGAAGCCAAUCCCGUAAAAUCGGUCUCAGUCCGGAUUGGAGUCUGCAACUCGACUCCAUGAAGUUGGAAUCGCUAGUAAUCGUGGAUCAGCAUGCCACGGUGAAUACGUUCCCGGGCCUU
This 466-nucleotide ribosomal RNA is filed under the name uncultured Desulfobulbus sp. RNAcentral describes it as "bacterial SSU rRNA". It matches the Rfam family "Bacterial small subunit ribosomal RNA", at positions 916 to 1381 of the family's 1533-position model. Lineage: Bacteria; Pseudomonadati; Thermodesulfobacteriota; Desulfobulbia; Desulfobulbales; Desulfobulbaceae. The record is from RNAcentral.